Molecule: non-coding RNA, 443 nt
Organism: Python bivittatus (Burmese python)
Lineage: Eukaryota; Metazoa; Chordata; Lepidosauria; Squamata; Pythonidae
Source: the annotation of a RefSeq genome assembly
CACAAGGUCUGUGCACUUUCCAGAAUCCUCUCCUCUCAUUUUCCCUCCGUUCAUUAGAGGGAGCAAAAAUGAUCCUGUGGCUAAACUUGGUGUCUUUACUCACAGUGUUCAGAGGGGUCCAAUCUGAGAUCCAGUUGGUGGAGUCUGGUGGGGACGUGAAAAGGCCUGGAGAAUCCCUCCGCCUCUCCUGCCAAGCCUCUGGAGAUGACUUCAGUAGCUACUACUCGAUGUACUGGGUGAGACAGUAUCCAGGGAAAGGACUGGAAUGGGUUGCUGCGAUUGAUUAUGAUGGAGAAAAGUUCUACUCAGACAAAGUGAAAGGACGGUUCACCAUCUCCAGAGACGAUGACAACAAUCUUAUGAAUCUACAAAUGAACAGCCUGAAACCAGAGGACACCGGAGUCUAUUACUGCACAGCUGACACAGUGAUAGGAAAUAUGUAA